This is a long non-coding RNA of Aethina tumida (small hive beetle), 1006 nucleotides long. RefSeq lists it as uncharacterized. The transcript has 2 exons. Lineage: Eukaryota; Metazoa; Arthropoda; Insecta; Coleoptera; Nitidulidae. The record is from RefSeq and is a predicted model, not a curated record.
GUGAUAAACGAUGUCGAAAGUAUAAUCGUUUCACUUUCUGCAAACGGUCAUUAUCAUUGUUGGUAAAACUUCUACAAACACUUUACCGUUUUCACUUGAGACCGUUUUACAACAAAAAUAUUUGACUUUAAACCCAACUGUAACUGUUUUGCGCAACAAUUUAAUUACUACGGAUUAUGUAGGGCUGAAUUUAAUUUAUUUGUUAAUCCAAUUUCAGUUUAACGACUUCAACUAUCACUAAAGCAGCUGUAAAUCAUAUUUACUAUAUUCCCUGUUUAAUUUAUGAAUAACAUUUACCGUUUAAUUAAAUACUUAUGCAAUUUUACUUGAAAUCAGUUUAAAUAUCAUUCAUAUUGACAGUAAAAAGAAAUCACAUAUGUAUCAAACGUAAAUCAGAAAGAAGAAUUUAAUAAUUGCACAUAUGGAUAAACGGUCAGUUCCGCUCACGUACCGUACUUUAAAAAUGACCGACAUUACGUACCGGACUGUUGGCGCGUGAUGUGCAUUAUUUUGGUGCACGUCCUCGAAAAGAAAGUCACUUUAUUACACAUUCCAACAGUUUUACGACGCCACUUUGCAUAAGAGCGCACAUUCAACGUCUUCUUUCUGUUACAGGACAAAAAAUCGAUAGGAAUUCAAGUAAAUUUCGAAACGGAAACGGAAAAUCCGCCGGAAAAAGUCGACUACCAACAAAACCUUUCAGAAAUAUUCGACAGGCUGAAAACUGAACUGGUGGACCUUCAUACGCACAUCGAGAAACGCAACAUUAGAUUGUAAAAUAAAACAGCAGUAAAAAACUUAAAUGGCUUUUAUUUAAACACGGUAGAAUUCGAUAAAAUUAUAACAAGCAGUAAAAAUUAUCAAUUAAAACAGACAAUAAAAAAAUUAUUGUUGAAAACAAACAACAUUUACAAUGUAAAUUUUGCAUAUGUCAAAGCUAAACAUAUACUAACAAUCCCUGAUAUGUUUUCUUUGUAUAAAAUACUGUAUAAAAAUGUAAAAAUAU